RNAcentral lists this ribosomal RNA (527 nucleotides) under uncultured Gammaproteobacteria bacterium. RNAcentral's name for it is "bacterial SSU rRNA". It matches the Rfam family "Bacterial small subunit ribosomal RNA", at positions 119 to 642 of the family's 1533-position model. The record is from RNAcentral. Lineage: Bacteria; Pseudomonadati; Pseudomonadota; Gammaproteobacteria.
AGGAAUCUACCGAGUAGUGGGGGACAACCUGGUGAAAACCAGGCUAAUACCGCAUACGCCCUACGGGGGAAAGCAGGGGAUCUUCGGACCUUGCGCUAUUCGAUGAGCCUGCGUUGGAUUAGCUAGUUGGUGGGGUAAGGGCCUACCAAGUCGACGAUCCAUAGCUGGUCUGAGAGGAUGAUCAGCCACACUGGGACUGAGACACGGCCCAGACUCCUACGGGAGGCAGCAGUGGGGAAUAUUGCACAAUGGGGGAAACCCUGAUGCAGCCAUGCCGCGUGUGUGAAGAAGGCUCUAGGGUUGUAAAGCACUUUCAGUGGGGAGGAAAAGCUGGUAGUUAAUACCUGCUAGCCGUGACGUUACCCACAGAAGAAGCACCGGCUAACUCCGUGCCAGCAGCCGCGGUAAUACGGAGGGUGCGAGCGUUAAUCGGAAUUACUGGGCGUAAAGCGCGCGUAGGCGGCUUGUUAAGUCGGAUGUGAAAGCCCCGGGCUCAACCUGGGAACUGCACCCGAUACUGGCAAGCU